AAUGCAGGGACACCAAGCUGAGAACUGACAUCCACCAAGUGAAUGGGGAAGAAGGGGCAGGCUUGGAGUUGAAGUGGCCCAGUAGAGUUCAAAGAGAUCAUUGGCACUGAAGUUACGAGUGAAGGGUCUUAGUUGUCACAUUUAAGAAGCCAUUUAGGAAAACUUUUAAGCAGAUCACAGGCAUAUAUGCUUCACUGUCCACAGCUGUAUGGAGACUCCAGUGGACAAGUCUGGGAAGUGCUGAUCUAAACCACACCAAAGGCUUGCUCAAGUGGAACCUUGAAGAUCAACUGUCAAAUUACCGCUAUCUGGAAGUUGCCUUUGAUUUUAC
This 331-nucleotide long non-coding RNA is filed under the name Equus caballus (horse). Its description in RNAcentral is "lncRNA (ENSECAG00000059967.1)". Lineage: Eukaryota; Metazoa; Chordata; Mammalia; Perissodactyla; Equidae. The record is from RNAcentral.